Camelus dromedarius (Arabian camel) is the source of this 91-nucleotide small nucleolar RNA. Its record names the gene SNORD14. It matches the Rfam family "Small nucleolar RNA SNORD14". Rfam says of the family: U14 small nucleolar RNA (U14 snoRNA) is required for early cleavages of eukaryotic precursor rRNAs. In yeasts, this molecule possess a stem-loop region (known as the Y-domain) which is essential for function. The record is from Ensembl. Lineage: Eukaryota; Metazoa; Chordata; Mammalia; Artiodactyla; Camelidae.
UCACUGUGAUGAUUAAUUUCUGGACAUUCACAGUUUCCACCAAAAAGGUUUUUCUUUAUGUUCGCUAGUUCUUCCUUGGAUGUCUGAGUGA